This 510-nucleotide ribosomal RNA is filed under the name uncultured bacterium. RNAcentral describes it as "bacterial SSU rRNA". It matches the Rfam family "Bacterial small subunit ribosomal RNA", at positions 8 to 518 of the family's 1533-position model. The record is from RNAcentral.
AGAGUUUGAUUAUGGCUCAGGAUGAACGCUGGCGGCGUGCCUAACACAUGCAAGUCGAACGGGCUCAUAGUGACAGAGACUCGGUUGAAGGAAUUAUGAAGUUAGUGGCGGACGGGUGAGUAACGCGUGGAGAACCUGCCCUGUACAGGGGGAUAACACCUGGAAACAGGUGCUAAAACCGCAUAAGCGCACGGUACCGCAUGGUACAGUGUGAAAAAACUCCGGUGGUACAGGAUGGCUCCGCGUUGGAUUAGCCAGUUGGCGGGUAACGGCCCACCAAAGCGACGAUCCAUAGCCGGCCUGAGAGGGUGGACGGCCACAUUGGGACUGAGACACGGCCCAGACUCCUACGGGAGGCAGCAGUGGGGAAUAUUGCACAAUGGGGGGAACCCUGAUGCAAGCGACGCCGCGUGAAGGAAGAAGUAUCUCGGUAUGUAAACUUCUAUCAGCAGGGAAGAAGAUGACGGUACCUGCAGAAGAAGCCCCGGCUAACUACGUGCCAGCCGCUGC